GGAAGGAUCAUUAUUGAAAUAAACCUGAUGGGUUGUUGCUGGCUCUCUAGAGAGCAUGUGCACGCCUUGUCAUCUUUAAAUCUCCACCUGUGCACCUUUUGUAGACCUUUUCAGGUCUAUGUUGUCUCAUUUACCCCAAUGUAUGUUAAUAGAAUGUUGUGACUAUAUAAUAUAUACAACUUUCAGCAACGGAUCUCUUGGCUCUCGCAUCGAUGAAGAACGCAGCGAAAUGCGAUAAGUAAUGUGAAUUGCAGAAUUCAGUGAAUCAUCGAAUCUUUGAACGCACCUUGCGCUCCUUGGUAUUCCGAGGAGCAUGCCUGUUUGAGUGUCAUUAAUAUAUAUAUCAACCUUCUCUUGUUGAAUGGUUUGGAUGUGGGGGUUUGCUGGCCUCUUAAAAGGAUUCAGCUCUC
This 410-nucleotide unclassified non-coding RNA is filed under the name uncultured fungus. Its description in RNAcentral is "sequence contains ITS1, 5.8S rRNA gene, ITS2 and 28S rRNA gene". The stretch from base 178 to 331 matches the Rfam family "5.8S ribosomal RNA". The record is from RNAcentral. Lineage: Eukaryota; Fungi.